Molecule: small RNA, 2308 nt
Filed under: Olea europaea subsp. europaea
Lineage: Eukaryota; Viridiplantae; Streptophyta; Magnoliopsida; Lamiales; Oleaceae
Source: RNAcentral
AUUAGGGUUGGAGCCUUUACAAGUUAAAUUUUGGUUCCAAAACAAGCGUACUCAAAUGAAGGUAAAGUGUUCAUCUUUCAGAAUUCUCAGGCUUAAAAUUUUCACCCAUGUUUAUCCGUAUAUUAGUACAUUAACUAUUGAGCACAUAAAUGGGAAGUUUAACUGUAAAGGAUUAAAUAUUUUCAGUCUCAACAUGAGCGGCACGAGAACACACAGCUGAGGAAUGAAAACGAUAAGCUACGUUCAGAUAAUAUAAGGUAUAAGGAAGCUCUCAGCAAUGCUACUUGUCCCAACUGUGGAGGACCAGCUUCCGUUGGCGAGAUGUCAUUUGAUGAGCAGCACUUGAGGAUAGAGAAUGCUCGCUUAAGAGAGGAGGUAAUAAGAGCAGACUUGAGACACUUGUAUUAGGAAUAUUGCUUUUUAGUAUGUGUCAAAAGAUUCUUGCUUUAAUGAGAUAGUGCGUUUGGAAAUUUCUAAUCAUUUUGAUCCACAGUUAAAUAAAUGAUUAAGCAAAAAAAUUAGCCUGUAAGUGUUUUUAUAUGUACUUUUGAACUUAUGUACAUGGGUACUCUCUUUUCAGAUUGAUAGGAUUUCUGGAAUUGCUGCAAAGUAUGUUGGCAAACCUUUGCUUUCUUAUGCACAUCUUCCUCCUGGAUCAUCUCGUUCACUUGAUCUUGGACCGGGAAAUUAUGGGCUGCAGACCGGCAUGGACAAUGAGUUAUUUGGUGCGGCUGAUCUUCUUAGGUCGGUCUCCGGACCAGCUGAUGCCAACAAGCCCAUGGUCAUUGAGUUGGCUGUUGCAGCAAUGGAGGAAUUAAUCCGAAUGGCUCAAACUGGAGAGCCUUUGUGGAUGCCUAGCACGGACAAUUCUGCUGAGACUUUGAGUGAAGAGGAAUAUGUCCGCACUUUCCCUCGUCUUAUUGGGCCAAAGCCCUUGGGAUUGAAAUCUGAGGCAUCUCGAGAGUCAGCUAUUGUGAUAAUGAAUCACAUCAGCUUGAUUGAAAUUCUGAUGGAUGUGGUGGGAUUUCUUACAUGCAUAUAUGGAAAUCAUUAUAUAAUUUAUUUAUUUUUUAAUUUCAUUUUAAUCAGCAUUUUUGGUGUCAUUGUGAUUACAGAAUCAAUGGACAAGCGUGUUCUCCAGCAUUGUCUCAAGAGCAAUGAUUGUUGAAGUUUUAUCAACUGGAGUGGCUGGCAACUAUAAUGGAGCUUUACAAGUGGUAUGCAUAAAAAUUUUAUCUUGGAGAUUGCUAUUCUUCACCGCUUAAGCAAGGACAUUUUAUCGGAAACUCUUAGAAAUUGUUAAUCCUAAUGCUUUUAUCUUUGUAGAUGACUGCUGAGUUCCAGGUCCCUUCUCCAUUGGUUCCAACUCGCGAAAACUAUUUUGCAAGAUAUUGCAAACAACAUGGUGAUGGAACUUGGGCUGUGGUGGAUGUUUCUUUGGACAACCUGAGAGCUACCUCUAUACCCAGGUGUAGACGAAGGCCAUCUGGUUGUUUGAUCCAAGAAUUGCCAAAUGGUUACUCAAAGGUAUAACAAAUUCUUGAGUUAAAAUUUCAAUUUAAAUAAAUAUAGGUCUCUAUGUUACUAGUGAUCAUGCUCCUAUCUGCAGGUUAUAUGGGUGGAACACAUUGAGGUAGACGAUAGAGCUGUUCAUACAAUCUACAAACCACUGGUCAAUUCUGGUCUCGCAUUUGGGGCAAGACGCUGGGUAGCGACUUUGGAUAGACAAUGUGAACGUCUUGCAAGUGUAAUGGCCAAUAACAUUUCAGGAGGAGAUGGUGGUGGUACUAACAGAUUCCAAAUUUUACUGUAAAAUGUUAGUUGACAUGAUUUUUUUAGCCUGUGCUAAUUUGUGUAAUUUCUGGUGCAGUGAUAUCAUGUCCAGAAGGUAGAAAGAGUAUGUUGAAGCUGGCAGAAAGAAUGGUAAUGAGCUUCUGCUCUGGGGUCGGUGCUUCAACUGCACACACAUGGACUACACUUUCAGGAAGUGGAGCUGAUGAUGUUAGGGUUAUGACCAGAAAAAGUGUGGAUGAUCCAGGCAGGCCUCCUGGUAUUGUGCUAAGUGCUGCUACAUCAUUUUGGCUCCCAGUUCCGCCAAAAAGAGUUUUUGAUUUUCUUCGUGAUGAGAAUUUGAGAAAUGAGGUAUGGAAUGUUUGUUCAAGACCUUGAAUUUAAAUGUCCAAGUCAAUCUUUGAUGUCACAUUACUUCUGCAGCUCCUAUGAUCAAGUGAAAUACUAAAAAUACAUGGAUUCUUAAAUCGUACUAGGGAAACAAAUAAUCACACGAUCGUCACUAUAUAUUACAGGA